AGCUUUGCGCAGUGGCAGUAUCGUAGCCAAUGAGGUUUAUCCGAGGCGCGAUUAUUACUAACAGAUAAAACCAAGAGAUUUCCAACAUUGUGAACAGAUCAGAAUUUCUGGUGACAGGCCCAGCAGUCAGAAAGGCUUCCCCUG
Zalophus californianus (California sea lion) is the source of this 144-nucleotide small nuclear RNA. Its record names the gene U4. It matches the Rfam family "U4 spliceosomal RNA". Rfam says of the family: U4 small nuclear RNA (U4 snRNA) is a component of the major U2-dependent spliceosome. The record is from Ensembl. NCBI's taxonomy places the organism in Eukaryota, Metazoa, Chordata, Mammalia, Carnivora, Otariidae.